UGAAAUAACGUACUGUUAGGCAGCCUAGGCCCUAGGUGGGACUGGAUCGGAUCCAGUCUAGUUUGUUCGGACCAAUUUGGUCCAUUUGUUGUAUCCGAGCUGUCCAAAGUGUUUUGAACUGCUCAAAUUUGUUCGGAUUUAUUUUUCAAAUUUGUUUGAAUUUAUUUUUAUUAUAAAAUAUCCAAAACGUCCAGAACAAAUUUGACAAAUGGACCAAACUAGUCCGAAUCGUUUCCCACAUGAGACUGUGAUUGUUAAUGGAAGAACAACUAUAUUUUAAAUUACUUCUCAACCAUCAAUCCUGCACUUAUGCCAUUGUUCCCGGUAGUUGUGUCGCUAGCAUCCUAGCAUUUUUUAUGAAAUAACGCGAGUUAAAUUAAUAGAAUUUCUAACCAUACCCUUUCUUUCUCAGCACCUCCGGCGCAACAUACGCCGGCGUCCCACACUGCGUGUGCAGCAGCCCGUCGAUCCUCUGCUGCUCCGGCAGCGCCGACAACCCGAAAUCCGACACCUUCAAGUCGCCAUUCUCAUCCAGCAACAAGUUCUCCGGCUUCAGAUCCCUGUGACUCACCCCCCUGCUGUGACAAUAAUCCACCGCGGCAAUCAACUGCUGGAAGUACUUCCUCGCCGAAUCCUCCCUCAACCUCCCCCUCGCCACCUUGGCGAACAGCUCCCCGCCCUUCACGUACUCCA
Rhododendron vialii is the source of this 693-nucleotide long non-coding RNA. RefSeq lists it as uncharacterized. The transcript has 2 exons. NCBI's taxonomy places the organism in Eukaryota, Viridiplantae, Streptophyta, Magnoliopsida, Ericales, Ericaceae. The record is from RefSeq and is a predicted model, not a curated record.